This 668-nucleotide ribosomal RNA is filed under the name Streptomyces sp. FT05W. RNAcentral's name for it is "bacterial SSU rRNA". It matches the Rfam family "Bacterial small subunit ribosomal RNA", at positions 1 to 684 of the family's 1533-position model. Lineage: Bacteria; Bacillati; Actinomycetota; Actinomycetes; Kitasatosporales; Streptomycetaceae. The record is from RNAcentral.
CAUUCACGGAGAGUUUGAUCCUGGCUCAGGACGAACGCUGGCGGCGUGCUUAACACAUGCAAGUCGAACGAUGAAGCCCUUCGGGGUGGAUUAGUGGCGAACGGGUGAGUAACACGUGGGCAAUCUGCCCUUCACUCUGGGACAAGCCCUGGAAACGGGGUCUAAUACCGGAUAACACUCUGUCCCGCAUGGGACGGGGUUAAAAGCUCCGGCGGUGAAGGAUGAGCCCGCGGCCUAUCAGCUUGUUGGUGGGGUAAUGGCCUACCAAGGCGACGACGGGUAGCCGGCCUGAGAGGGCGACCGGCCACACUGGGACUGAGACACGGCCCAGACUCCUACGGGAGGCAGCAGUGGGGAAUAUUGCACAAUGGGCGAAAGCCUGAUGCAGCGACGCCGCGUGAGGGAUGACGGCCUUCGGGUUGUAAACCUCUUUCAGCAGGGAAGAAGCGAAAGUGACGGUACCUGCAGAAGAAGCGCCGGCUAACUACGUGCCAGCAGCCGCGGUAAUACGUAGGGCGCAAGCGUUGUCCGGAAUUAUUGGGCGUAAAGAGCUCGUAGGCGGCUUGUCACGUCGGAUGUGAAAGCCCGGGGCUUAACCCCGGGUCUGCAUUCGAUACGGGCUAGCUAGAGUGUGGUAGGGGAGAUCGGAAUUCCUGGUGUAGCGGUGA